This 406-nucleotide ribosomal RNA is filed under the name uncultured bacterium. RNAcentral describes it as "partial 16S ribosomal RNA". It matches the Rfam family "Bacterial small subunit ribosomal RNA", at positions 30 to 526 of the family's 1533-position model. The record is from RNAcentral.
AUUGAACGCUGGCGGCAGGCCUAACACAUGCAAGUAGAACGAGUGGCGGACGGGUGAGUAAUGUCUGGGAAACUGCCCGAUGGAGGGGGAUAACUACUGGAAACGGUAGCUAAUACCGCAUACCAUCUGUGGUGCCCAGAUGGGAUUAGCUAGGAGGGGGGGUAACGGCUCACCUAGGCUACGAUCCAUAGCUGGUCUGAGAGGAUGAACAGACAAACUGGAACUGAGACAAGGUCCAGAAUCCUACGGGAGGCAGCAGUGGGGAAUAUUGCACAAUGGGCGCAAGCCUGAUGCAGCAAUGCCGCGUGUAUGAAGAAGGCCUUCGGGUUGUAAAGUACUUUCAGCGAGGAGGCGUUACUCGCAGAAGAAGCACCGGCUAACUCCGUGCCAGCAGCCGCGGUAAUAC